This 466-nucleotide ribosomal RNA is filed under the name uncultured bacterium. RNAcentral's name for it is "bacterial SSU rRNA". It matches the Rfam family "Bacterial small subunit ribosomal RNA", at positions 339 to 797 of the family's 1533-position model. The record is from RNAcentral.
CUACGGGAGGCAGCAGUGGGGAAUUUUGGACAAUGGGGGCAACCCUGAUCCAGCAAUGCCGCGUGAGUGAAGAAGGCCUUCGGGUUGUAAAGCUCUUUUGUCAGGGAAGAAACGGUGGUCGCUAAUAUCGGCUGCUAAUGACGGUACCUGAAGAAUAAGCACCGGCUAACUACGUGCCAGCAGCCGCGGUAAUACGUAGGGUGCAAGCGUUAAUCGGAAUUACUGGGCGUAAAGCGUGCGCAGGCGGUUAUAUAAGUCAGAUGUGAAAUCCCCGGGCUCAACCUGGGAACUGCAUUUGAGACUGUAUAGCUAGAGUGUGUCAGAGGGGGGUAGAAUUCCACGUGUAGCAGUGAAAUGCGUAGAGAUGUGGAGGAAUACCGAUGGCGAAGGCAGCCCCCUGGGAUAACACUGACGCUCAUGCACGAAAGCGUGGGGAGCAAACAGGAUUAGAUACCCCGGUAGUCCU